This 460-nucleotide ribosomal RNA is filed under the name uncultured bacterium. RNAcentral's name for it is "partial 16S ribosomal RNA". It matches the Rfam family "Bacterial small subunit ribosomal RNA", at positions 338 to 795 of the family's 1533-position model. The record is from RNAcentral.
CCUACGGGAGGCAGCAGUGAGGAAUAUUGGUCAAUGGACGAGAGUCUGAACCAGCCAAGUAGCGUGAAGGAUGACUGCCCUAUGGGUUGUAAACUUCUUUUAUAUGGGAAUAAAACGUUCCACGUGUGGGAUUUUGUAUGUACCAUAUGAAUAAGGCUCGGCUAACUCCGUGCCAGCAGCCGCGGUAAUACGGAGGAUCCGAGCGUUAUCCGGAUUUAUUGGGUUUAAAGGGAGCGUAGGUGGAUUGUUAAGUCAGUUGUGAAAGUUUGCGGCUCAACCGUAAAAUUGCAGUUGAAACUGGCAGUCUUGAGUACAGUAGAGGUGGGCGGAAUUCGUGGUGUAGCGGUGAAAUGCUUAGAUAUCACGAAGAACUCCGAUUGCGAAGGCAGUUCACUGGACUGCAACUGACACUGAGGCUCGAAAGUGUGGGUAUCAAACAGGAUUAGAUACCCGAGUAGUC